This 86-nucleotide transfer RNA is filed under the name Sulfitobacter litoralis. RNAcentral's name for it is "tRNA-Ser". It matches the Rfam family "tRNA". From Rfam's summary of the family: Transfer RNA (tRNA) molecules are approximately 80 nucleotides in length. Their secondary structure includes four short double-helical elements and three loops (D, anti-codon, and T loops). Lineage: Bacteria; Pseudomonadati; Pseudomonadota; Alphaproteobacteria; Rhodobacterales; Roseobacteraceae. RNAcentral also lists the same sequence under 1 other name. The record is from RNAcentral.
GGAGCGGGGGCAGGAUGGUAAUGCAGCAGAUUGCUAAUCUGUAGGCCCUUCGGGGUCACCGGGUUCGACUCCCGGUCGCUCCGCCA